AUCUACAGCCAAACCACCCUGAACACGCCCAAUCUCGCCUGAUCUUGGAAGCAGGGUCAGGCCUGGUUAGUACUUGGAUGGGAGACCACCUGGGAAUACUGGGUGCUGUAGGCU
Molecule: ribosomal RNA, 114 nt
Filed under: Mus pahari (shrew mouse)
Lineage: Eukaryota; Metazoa; Chordata; Mammalia; Rodentia; Muridae
Source: RNAcentral